AGUGAACGCUGGCGGCGUGCCUAAUACAUGCAAGUCGAACGGAGUGGCGCACGGGUGUGUAAUAUAUAGCUAAUCUGCCCCUUGCUGGAGGACAACAGUUAGAAAUGACUGCUAAUACUCCAUAGCAAGGGAUGAGGCUAUAUCGUAUCAGCUAGUCGGUGGGGUAACGGCCUACCGAGGUGAUGACGCGUAACUGGUCUGAGGGGAUGAUCAGCAACAUUGGAAGUGAGACACGAUGCGAACACCGACCGGAAGCAGCAGUAGGGAAUAUUACGCAAUGGGCGGAGACCUGACGCGGCAACGCCGCGUGGAGGAUGACACUUUUCGGAGCGUAAACUCCUGUUGUUAAGGGAGCGGUACCUAACGAAUAAGCACCGGCUAACUCCGUGCCAGCCGCCGCGGUAAUUC
Molecule: ribosomal RNA, 408 nt
Filed under: uncultured bacterium
Lineage: Bacteria
Description: partial 16S ribosomal RNA
Rfam family: Bacterial small subunit ribosomal RNA
Source: RNAcentral